AUGAAGUGUGACAUGCCCGUUUGGGAAUUACUCUGAUGCAUGUUUUAUUAAUUGAUUUUUGGGAAACGGGGUGUUACAAUUGG
MicroRNA precursor from Medicago truncatula (barrel medic), 83 nucleotides. It matches the Rfam family "MIR2617 microRNA precursor family". The record is from Rfam. Lineage: Eukaryota; Viridiplantae; Streptophyta; Magnoliopsida; Fabales; Fabaceae.